AACGGGUGAGUAACACGUAGGCAACCUGCCCAAAAGAGGGGGAUAACACUUGGAAACAGGUGCUAAUACCGCAUAACCAUGAACACCGCAUGAUGUUCAUGUAAAAGACGGCUUUUGCUGUCACUUUUGGAUGGGCCUGCGGCGUAUUAACUUGUUGGUGGGGUAACGGCCUACCAAGGUGAUGAUACGUAGCCGAACUGAGAGGUUGAUCGGCCACAUUGGGACUGAGACACGGCCCAAACUCCUACGGGAGGCAGCAGUAGGGAAUCUUCCACAAUGGACGAAAGUCUGAUGGAGCAACGCCGCGUGAAUGAAGAAGGCCUUCGGGUCGUAAAAUUCUGUUGUCAGAGAAGAACGUGCGUGAGAGUAACUGUUCACGUAUUGACGGUAUCUGACCAGAAAGCCACGGCUAACUACGUGCCAGCAGCCGCGGUAAUACGUAGGUGGCGAGCGUUGUCCGGAUUUAUUGGGCGUAAAGGGAACGCAGGCGGUCUUUUAAGUCUGAUGUGAAAGCCUUCGGCUUAACCGAAGUAGUGCAUUGGAAACUGGAAGACUUGAGUGCAGAAGAGGAGAGUGGAACUCCA
Molecule: ribosomal RNA, 584 nt
Filed under: uncultured bacterium
Lineage: Bacteria
Description: bacterial SSU rRNA
Rfam family: Bacterial small subunit ribosomal RNA
Source: RNAcentral